Molecule: ribosomal RNA, 106 nt
Filed under: bacterium
Lineage: Bacteria
Source: RNAcentral
GUUGGUGGUUUGGCGAAGGGGGUACACCCGUUCUCAUUCCGAACACGGCAGUUAAGCCCUUCUGCGCCGAUGGUAGUCGAAAGGCGAGAGUAGGUCGCCGCCAACA